Molecule: ribosomal RNA, 274 nt
Filed under: uncultured bacterium
Lineage: Bacteria
Description: partial 16S ribosomal RNA
Rfam family: Bacterial small subunit ribosomal RNA
Source: RNAcentral
AUACGGGGGGGGCAAGCGUUGUUCGGAUUUACUGGGCGUAAAGCGCUCGUAGGCGGCUUGUUAAGUCGGAUGUGAAAGCCCCGGGCUCAACCUGGGAACUGCAUUCGAUACUGGCAGGCUAGAGUAUAGUAGAGGCAAGUGGAAUUCCGGGUGUAGCGGUGAAAUGCGUAGAUAUCCGGAGGAACAUCAGUGGCGAAGGCGACUUGCUGGACUAAUACUGACGCUGAGGAGCGAAAGCGUGGGGAGCAAACGGGAUUAGAAACCCCAGUAGUCC